GACGAACGCUGGCGGCGUGCCUAACACAUGCAAGUCGAACGGAGUUGAUUCUUCGGAAUUAACUUAGUGGCGAACGGGUGAGUAACGCGUGAGGAACCUACCUUUCAGUGGGGGACAACAGUUGGAAACGACUGCUAAUACCGCAUAACACAUUUGAGGGGCAUCCCUUGAAUGUCAAAGAUUUAUUGCUGAAAGAUGGCCUCGCGUCUGAUUAGCUAGUUGGUGGGUAACGGCCCACCAAGGCGACGAUCAGUAGCCGGUCUGAGAGGUUGAUCGGCCACAUUGGGACUGAGACACGGCCCAGACUCCUACGGGAGGCAGCAGUAGGGAAUUUCGGCAAUGGGGGAAACCCUGACCGAGCGACGCCGCGUGAAGGAAGAAGGCUGGUGUAAUCUUUACAGGGACGAAGAACGU
Molecule: ribosomal RNA, 414 nt
Filed under: uncultured bacterium
Lineage: Bacteria
Description: bacterial SSU rRNA
Rfam family: Bacterial small subunit ribosomal RNA
Source: RNAcentral